RNAcentral lists this non-coding RNA (24 nucleotides) under Arabidopsis thaliana (thale cress). The record is from RNAcentral. Lineage: Eukaryota; Viridiplantae; Streptophyta; Magnoliopsida; Brassicales; Brassicaceae.
ACUCCAAACGAUACAAUCAUUUGU